GAUGAACGCUGGCGGCGUGCUUAACACAUGCAAGUCGAACGGUGAACACGGAGCUUGCUCUGUGGGAUCAGUGGCGAACGGGUGAGUAACACGUGAGCAACCUGCCCCUGACUCUGGGAUAAGCGCUGGAAACGGCGUCUAAUACUGGAUAUGUGACGUGACCGCAUGGUCUGCGUUUGGAAAGAUUUUUCGGUUGGGGAUGGGCUCGCGGCCUAUCAGCUUGUUGGUGAGGUAAUGGCUCACCAAGGCGUCGACGGGUAGCCGGCCUGAGAGGGUGACCGGCCACACUGGGACUGAGACACGGCCCAGACUCCUACGGGAGGCAGCAGUGGGGAAUAUUGCACAAUGGCGGAAGCCUGAUGCAGCAACGCCGCGUGAGGGAUGACGGCCUUCGGGUUGUAAGCCUCUUUUAGCAGGGAAGAAGCGAAAGUGACGGUACCUGCAGAAAAAGCGCCGGCUAACUACGUGCCAGCAGCCGCGGUAA
RNAcentral lists this ribosomal RNA (484 nucleotides) under uncultured bacterium. RNAcentral's name for it is "partial 16S ribosomal RNA". It matches the Rfam family "Bacterial small subunit ribosomal RNA", at positions 28 to 523 of the family's 1533-position model. The record is from RNAcentral.